UGGGGAAUCUUGGACAAUGGGCGCAAGCCUGAUCCAGCCAUGCCGCGUGGAUGAUGAAGGCCUUAGGGUUGUAAAAUCCUUUCGCCGAGGACGAUAAUGACGGUACUCGGAGAAGAAGCUCCGGCUAACUUCGUGCCAGCAGCCGCGGUAAUACGAAGGGGGCUAGCGUUGUUCGGAUUUACUGGGCGUAAAGCGCGUGUAGGCGGGUCGUUAAGUUGGGGGUGAAAUCCCGAGGCUCAACCUCGGAACUGCCUUCAAAACUGGCGACCUGGACCUAAGUAGAGGCAAGUGGAAUUGCGAGUGCAGAGGUGAAAUUCGUAGAUAUUCGCAGGAACACCAGUGGCGAAGGCGACUUGCUGGACUUAUGGUGACGCUGAGACGCGAAAGCGUGGGGAGCAAACAGGAUUAGAUACCCCCGUAGUCCCUGAGCGGGCUGGCAAGGCGCAU
RNAcentral lists this ribosomal RNA (447 nucleotides) under uncultured bacterium. RNAcentral's name for it is "bacterial SSU rRNA". It matches the Rfam family "Bacterial small subunit ribosomal RNA", at positions 355 to 825 of the family's 1533-position model. The record is from RNAcentral.